RNAcentral lists this ribosomal RNA (253 nucleotides) under uncultured bacterium. RNAcentral's name for it is "partial 16S ribosomal RNA". It matches the Rfam family "Bacterial small subunit ribosomal RNA", at positions 524 to 776 of the family's 1533-position model. The record is from RNAcentral.
UACGAGGGGGGCGAGCGUUGUUCGGAAUUAUUGGGCGUAAAGGGAGCGUAGGCGGGUUAUCAAGUUGGGGGUGAAAGCCCGGGGCUCAACCUCGGAAUUGCCUUCAAAACUGAUAACCUGGAGUAUGGAAGAGGUAAGUGGAACUCCGAGUGUAGAGGUGAAAUUCGUAGAUAUUCGGAAGAACACCAGUGGCGAAGGCGACUUACUGGUCCAUUACUGACGCUGAGGCUCGAAAGCGUGGGGAGCAAACAGG